UAGAGAUUUAAGCACUUAUGUACGUCGCUCUGGAUAAGGGGUCUGCCAAAUGCUGUAAACGUAAAUGUUCGUUUGCGCAUGCGGGUCAGUUCGAAACCGCAAACUGUUCACACUGGUAUCUGAUAUAGGUCAGAUUUUAAAUGGUAAUGUAUAAUCGGUGUGCGUUGUGAUGUGUGUUUAAUCGGUGUGUGUGUUGUAAUGUUGUGUAUGUAACCCAGUUAAAAAAUGUUAGUUUAAUUCUUAAAUAUAUAAAAAUAUGAUUUUUAUUUGUUAUUAUUUAUUAUUUUAACUUUAAGACCAGUAAUAUAUUUCACUGUGAUGCUUUGUCCCGUGUUAUUUUCAUUUUAAACCAAUCAUAUAGUGAUCUAACACUUUGUCCCGCCUUCUGGCGUUGCUGAUUGGUUAGAUGAGUUUUGUGAGCAGCGGUGUAGGCUGAUACUGCACAGAUGGAGCAUGUUUCAUUGCACCGACAGGUUUAAGAGAGACAAAGCUGGAUUAUAUUGAUGUUAUUGAGAUUUCUGGUGAACCAAGUUUCAUGUUUAUCUUGUUAUCAAAGGAGGAAAUAUUAAACUUGGAAGCAAAUGGUAUGGGCCAAUGUUGGGAAUCUAUGUAUAUUAUUCCUUAGUUCUUAUGUAUGUGGAUGCAUGUUUUCUUGCAUUUCAUAUUUUCAUUUCACUGUAAAAAAAAAAAAACAGUAUUAUGGGUUUUUUUUAAACUUAUUCAAUGUCCUGCAGCUCAGUAUAUAUUUAAGUCAUUAAUGGUCAUACAUACAGUAUUUCUCGGUUUAUUUGAAUGUGAUUAGGCCCAAUAGUAAUGUAAAUGAGGUUUAAAUGAAUGCUCUACAACUGUUUUGUACAAACACCUGUUUUGUAAAUGCAGGUCAGGUCUUUUGUAGAGGUGUGUUCAGCACAGAGAUUUGGAUGGUGAACCAGCUGGCGAGCCACCCAGUUUGAUGAGGAAUCUAUCGUAUCCAGGAGGAGACAAGGUUUUCCUUAAAGAUCCAAUUUUGAGACCUAUCAAUGGAACUGCAGUGUUUGGUAUGACUGUUACCUACACAAGUCCAUCUCAAGUCUAUUUGGAAGGAUAUUGAGGACAAAGGAAUUCAAUUCUCAUAUUGACUAUUUUGAUACACACACACACUGAUAAACAUAAACACACAUUCAAUUGUUUUUUUGCCGGCUAAUGUUUUGUGAUUUGUACUGUUUUGUUAGCUCACUAAAGUGAAUCUAUUUGUUGUGUUGCUUUGUCUUACUUGAACUCCAAUGAACCUAGCAGCGGUGUAUUUUUCCCGUAGAUGGGUUACAUGUAUUUUUAUUAUCUGUGUGUUUGUAUAAUCUGUGGUGUGAUGUGUGUGAGUAUUGUGAUGUGAGUGUGAGUAUUUGUUCUCUUGUGCAUAAUUUUAAUGUCCGUUUAUAAAUAGAGCAGCCCCUAAGCUGCUAUUACUCAUUCUCUCGCCAUACGAGUCACACGAGGCAAGUGCGAGUUAGCCGCAUGCAAAGGUGAAACUGCAAAGAAAAGCAAAUAAGAUCCAUGAAAAGAAGGCGGAAGCAGAUAAGCAGCGUCAAAAGGUGGCAUUCCUGUGGAGUAAAGCGGGUGACUUGCUUGCAGAGAAGGUGAAGCUGCUGUGUGAUGUGGAUACGCAGCGUAUAGAAGAGGAGCGACUGCUAAGUACAGCGGAUACGCUGUGUUUAAAUGAGCAGCGGCUGCGGAAUGAAGGGGAAACUCUGUGUGUAGAUUUUGUGGUGCUGCGGUUUCAAGCGUGUAUGAAGAAGAAAAAGGAAGAGCAGCUGCUGUGUAAAGUGGAUGAGCUGGAACAAAAGGAGAGGCAGCUGUGGAGUAAAGCGGAUGAGCUGCAUACAGAGGUGGUGCAGCUGCAAAGUAAAGUGAGUGAUGUUGGUUAAGAGGAGGCGCAGCAGCGGAGGCAAGCGGUUUCGCUGCAUGUAGAUGAUUUGCACCUGCUGUGUGAAGAGGAGGCGCAGCAGCGGAGUAAAGCGGUAAAGGUGGCUAGAGCGUAUAAGAAGCAAGUAGAGAAGGAGCAGCUGCUGUAGUAAAGCGGAUGAGCUGCAAAAAGAGAAUUAGCAGCUACAAAGUAAAGUGGGUGAGGUUGAUGAAGAGAAGGAGCAGCUGCUAAGUGAAUGAUGUGUGUGAAGAACAGACGCUGCUGCAGAGUGGUGCGAAUUUGCAGCGUGAAAAGUUGGCGAAGCUGCUGCAUAAAGUGAAUUCGCUGUGUGAAGAACAGGUGAAGCUGCAGCGUGAGAUAGAUGUGGAGCUUGAAAUUGAGGCGGAGCUGCAGAGUCAAGUGAAUGUCCUGUGUGAAAUGGAGGCGAAGCUGUGGCAUGAAGCAGAUAAUCAGCAUAAAGCAUCCUCAAGCGGGUGCGUGGCAAGAUAAACUUAGGCGGUGGUUGUUCUCGGCAUCCUGGUGGAUGUUGCUGGCAGCCACAUGUAUUUUAUACAUCAGUGUGAUCCUGGACGGCGAGGUCAACAUCCACAAGGCCGUGAAGAGCAAGGAUCCCUCCAUUAAAUGGCUGACCAUCUGCUGCGUCAUCUUAGAACUCACCAGCUUGAUGUGCUCUAUUUUAAUUGCCCUUACAGAGCAUUACAUUAUCCAGGAGAUGAAGCCACACGUCACAAUUCUAAUGAAUGUUAUUUUACUUUCCAUUGAUUUGUUUGCAUGCUGUGCUGCUUUAUUUUGACAUAAAUGAACAUUUUUGCUCUAAAUUAAUAUUCAGAAUAAUUUUUAUUGCUAACCCGAAUUGUUGUUGUUCAUUUUAAUUUUGUUGAAU
This is a long non-coding RNA of Tachysurus fulvidraco (yellow catfish), 2783 nucleotides long. RefSeq lists it as uncharacterized. The record is from RefSeq and is a predicted model, not a curated record. Lineage: Eukaryota; Metazoa; Chordata; Actinopteri; Siluriformes; Bagridae. The transcript is spliced from 5 exons.